This 592-nucleotide long non-coding RNA is filed under the name Mytilus galloprovincialis (Mediterranean mussel). Lineage: Eukaryota; Metazoa; Mollusca; Bivalvia; Mytilida; Mytilidae. The record is from RNAcentral.
GGACUGUGUAAACACCAAUGAUAUCCAUAUACACCGGGGGUGAACCAACUUGAAAAUGUUAUUACUGUUCUUACAUGUAGAAAGUUUAUAAUGUCGCUCUACAAUAUCCACACAAAACUGUAUAUCGUGUUUAUUUUUUCCUCUCGGAUGUAUCAAUAAACUUCGAAUGGCUUAUUUACGUGUAUAACAUAUACCCAACACUCCGAAUACCGAAAUUACCUUUUUCUUUUUUUUUUUUUUCUUUUUUUUUUCAUCAUGGUUGGGCUUAAUUAAAUCAUUUUACACAAAGUAAGUAUAACGGAAAUACGCCUAAAACUUUUUUUUAGUUAAACGGGUAAAAGGAAAACUAAAGAUAAUACUAUAUAUUUUUAUGACUUUUUUUUAACUUUCACGAAGAGCUUUGGGAUUCCAGUAUUUACUUUAAGGAUGUACACCUCCGAGGAGUCAAACAUUUCAAGAAUUAGACUGUUUUUUCUUAAAAUGAUAUUUUUGUCUAUAUGGCUUUAAAAGAAAGUAAUUAAUGGAGACAAAAUCACAUGGUGGUGCACCUUGUUAAUACGGCCAUUUGAAAGUUACCUAUUUUUUUUAUUUU